UUAGGUUACAAUGUCCAUGCAAACCUUAUAGCAGACAAACCGUGACCUCGUUCAUUUAUUAAGGGGAACGCAAAAAACUAAAGCAUUAUCGGCCAGUCGUUUACUGAUUAUCUAUACUAAUAUAUAAACCUACAGUGGUUUUUACGUUAUAACUACUGAACCAUGCAUCUGGUUGACUUGAAACUUGGUAUCCAGAUCGCCUUCGAAAGUGUCUUUAUAGCGGAUAUUCAGAAACUUGGCACAUAUCCGCAAGAAGUUAAUAUUUACCGCGGCUUUCGGAUAUUGAUCGGCGGUUUCCUUGACGAGGGUACAAUUUCUCUUGAUGUGGGAUAUCUGGAACUUAGGUCGAUUCAAAGUGUGCAACGGAAUAAGCUCUUAUGAAACUUUUCGACAUGGUGCAGUGAAAUAGAUGAAAUAUAAAACCUUUUCAAUAUAAUCUUGAAUUUAUAUCGCAAAGAUCUUGCCAUUGUCCUUCCUAUAAACGCUUAAGAAUAAAAUAUGUUUUAAAGCGUUUUUAAUCAAAUUCUAGAUACUUUAGCUUUUUAAUCAAAGUUUUGAAUACUAUAUAUGAUUACUUCAUAAUUAAUUAAAAUUAUUGAAAUGUG
Bombyx mori (domestic silkworm) is the source of this 605-nucleotide long non-coding RNA. RefSeq lists it as uncharacterized. Lineage: Eukaryota; Metazoa; Arthropoda; Insecta; Lepidoptera; Bombycidae. The record is from RefSeq and is a predicted model, not a curated record. The transcript has 3 exons.